ACCCAUUCCUUUUGCUUACAAAAGAAAUAUCAUGGAGUUAAACUGUAAGUUUCCAUGUUCGUUCAAUGUAACUGAAUUAUUAGAUGUUGCCACUUAUUAAGAAUAGUUUGUAGGUUCGUUGUCAUUAUUGUGAAUUUUCAUGUCUUAUAUUUGUUGCUUCUGCAGGUGUUAUAUCAAGGUAUCACCAUGGCGAGAUCCCCUUUGCUGCUAACCAGGAAGUUGAGAAUCAUGAAGUGAGAGCACUCUGAAGUUUGAUGUGCACUUGACGCUGGACUUCCCCUGUUGAGUUCGAAUUUGAUUCUGCUAAUUCUGAUGUAGUGCCAGCAUGUAGAAGCUACAACAUCUAUGCUGAUGUUCGUAAAUUUCCUUCUUGGUUUAUCUUCAAGUUCCUGCAAAUUGGUAUAGGGUGCAGUGCGCUGGCUCAUGGCCUUGCUGCCCAGGCGCAUCAGAUUAGUAUUAGUAAUCUAUGGAUGGGAAAUGUCCCUCCAUUGUUGAGUUGGCUUGUAAUGACACUAUAACUCUGAUUCCGUAUGACCAUUAAAAAAAACUGAUCUGUGCCCACUUACGUUGACGGAAUGUUUCUUGUGUAUGUUAAAACUGAAAAAUGUCUGUUUCAU
This 617-nucleotide long non-coding RNA is filed under the name Triticum aestivum (bread wheat). RNAcentral's name for it is "long non-coding RNA (TAES_LNC027779)". Lineage: Eukaryota; Viridiplantae; Streptophyta; Magnoliopsida; Poales; Poaceae. The record is from RNAcentral.